AGCCCUGUAGUGUAGCGGCCAAUCAUACGAGACUCUGGAUCUUGUGACCGAGGUUCGAAUCCUCGCAGGGCUA
Molecule: transfer RNA, 73 nt
Filed under: Nanobdellota archaeon
Lineage: Archaea; Nanobdellati; Nanobdellota
Description: tRNA-Gln
Rfam family: tRNA
About the family: Transfer RNA (tRNA) molecules are approximately 80 nucleotides in length. Their secondary structure includes four short double-helical elements and three loops (D, anti-codon, and T loops). Further hydrogen bonds mediate the characteristic L-shaped molecular structure. tRNAs have two regions of fundamental functional importance: the anti-codon, which is responsible for specific mRNA codon recognition, and the 3' end, to which the tRNAs corresponding amino acid is attached (by aminoacyl-tRNA synthetases). tRNAs cope with the degeneracy of the genetic code in two manners: having more than one tRNA (with a specific anti-codon) for a particular amino acid; and 'wobble' base-pairing, i.e. permitting non-standard base-pairing at the 3rd anti-codon position.
Source: RNAcentral